Molecule: long non-coding RNA, 336 nt
Organism: Adelges cooleyi (spruce gall adelgid)
Lineage: Eukaryota; Metazoa; Arthropoda; Insecta; Hemiptera; Adelgidae
Exons: 3
Source: RefSeq, a predicted model, not a curated record
GUAUGGUCGAAUCAUAAUUAGUUUCAAAAUUCAAACUGAAUACAGCACUCAUUUACGAUAAUACGUUAAUAAUAGAAAAUCAGAAAAUGAAAUUCAUAAAUAUUGCAUUAGGUGUGAUAUAUAUUGCAGUAUGCAUCCUUGCACUUGGUAGUGUCAACACAGAAGCCCAUUCCCGUAAACACCCGGAUAAGAAAUUUGGUCAAUCUGCGACAGUUAAAACAAAUACCUGAGCAUGGUCGUACCAUGUGUAGGCAGAAAUGGAUCCGGGCGUUAUGGUUUCCAAUUUCUUAACAGAAAAACAUUUAAAAUAAUAAUAAAAGUGUAGUUUUCAUUUCU